CGGUAGCACAAUGGUAGUGCGCCUGAUUGUGGCUCAGGUUACGGAGGUUCGAUUCCUCUCCUU
This 63-nucleotide transfer RNA is filed under the name uncultured Succiniclasticum sp. It matches the Rfam family "tRNA", at positions 6 to 65 of the family's 71-position model. Rfam says of the family: Transfer RNA (tRNA) molecules are approximately 80 nucleotides in length. Their secondary structure includes four short double-helical elements and three loops (D, anti-codon, and T loops). Lineage: Bacteria; Bacillati; Bacillota; Negativicutes; Acidaminococcales; Acidaminococcaceae. The record is from RNAcentral.